UGCGGGAUGGAGCAGUCUGGUAGCUCGUCGGGCUCAUAACCCGAAGGUCGUUGGUUCAAAUCCAGCUCCCGCUACC
RNAcentral lists this transfer RNA (76 nucleotides) under Acinetobacter baumannii. Its description in RNAcentral is "tRNA-Met". It matches the Rfam family "tRNA". Rfam says of the family: Transfer RNA (tRNA) molecules are approximately 80 nucleotides in length. The record is from RNAcentral. Lineage: Bacteria; Pseudomonadati; Pseudomonadota; Gammaproteobacteria; Moraxellales; Moraxellaceae. RNAcentral also lists the same sequence under 1 other name.